UGAUAUGGUCGUAGUGUGACGAACAGUAUAAAAUAAAAAAACACACAUAGGGA
RNAcentral lists this non-coding RNA (53 nucleotides) under unclassified sequences. Its description in RNAcentral is "6A RNA". It matches the Rfam family "6A RNA". Rfam says of the family: Actinobacteria (1 example), Firmicutes, Fusobacteria. Terminator (Clostridia) The record is from Rfam by way of RNAcentral.